This is a long non-coding RNA of Carassius auratus (goldfish), 795 nucleotides long. RefSeq lists it as uncharacterized. The record is from RefSeq and is a predicted model, not a curated record. Lineage: Eukaryota; Metazoa; Chordata; Actinopteri; Cypriniformes; Cyprinidae. The transcript is spliced from 3 exons.
UUGUCACAUCGUCAUCAUGGGAAUUUACUGGACCAAGCCGGUUUACUCACAUCCAUCCAGUAUUUAAGAGACGGUACCACAGAUGCCUUAGUAAAUACAGACUGUGACAUUGUAAUAACUGGACAAGACAUCUAUUCAAGGAUGAAGACAUUACGUGCAAUGCUACUGAUGCUGUUUGUUGCAUCAGUCUUUUCAAAACCAUUUGGUUUGCGCAGAAGAUUUGAUUCAUCGGACUCUGUGCGAUCUAGAUUCAGUUCAGAGGGAAAUGAUUCACAGUCUGAUGAGAAUUCUGAAUCAAACGGGUGUAAAUCAAGUGAUUCUGAAUCUUCGGAGGAAGUUAUCAGCGUUGUGUCAAGCACAUUCCCUCCAGCUAGCACAACAAGUCCAUUGACUGCUGGCAAGACAACAACAACACCACCAGCUACCACAACACAAGCCAUCACACAAUGUGUUACUGAAAGAAGGGGUGAUAAUAGUGUUGUUAUAAUAUCUUGUAGUACUUCUCCAUAAUCAUCAGUUGAAUGUUUAAAGAUGUACAGUUCAUUACAAUUUACAAUAUAGUCAUGUUUAUGUACUGAUAAUGAAGGUCUUGGCACUGAAUGAUGUAACUUUUAAAAUGAUUUACUUUUAAACUUCAUGUCACUAUUAUGGUUUUAAAUCUUUAUAAUAAUAAAAUUGUCACAACGGUUUUAUGAUUUAACACCCUUUAACACACUGUUUUCCGAUGGGAUUUAUUAUUGGUUGUACUUUGUCUGAAGCAAUAAAAUACUACUUACCAGCAUACUGAAAUGAGAG